AGCCAUGCGAGUCGAGAGGUGUAAGACCUCGGCAUACUGCUCAGUAACACGUGGUUAACCUGCCCUAAGGUGGAGAAUACUCCCGGGAAACUGGGGUUAAUGCUCCAUAGUGGAUAUGUCCUGGAAUGGUAUAUCCUCGAAAGAUCCGUCGCCUUAGGAUGGGACUGCGUCCGAUUAGGUUGUUGGCGGGGUAACGGCCCACCAAGCCAUUGAUCGGUACGGGUUGUGGGAGCAAGAUCCCGGAGAUGGAUUCUGAGACAUGAAUCCAGGCCCUACGGGGCGCAGCAGGCGCGCAAACUUUACAAUGCGAGCAAUCGUGAUAAGGAAACCCUGAGUGCCUGUCGAUGCAGGCUGUUCAUAUAUCUAAAUCAUAUGUGAAGAAAGGGCAGGGCAAGACCGGUGCCAGCCGCCGCGGUAAUACCGGCUGCUCGAGUGAUGGCCACUAUUACUGGGUUUAAAGCGUCCGUAGCUUGACUGUUAGGUCCCUUGGGAAAUCUUCGCGCUUAACGUGAAGGCGUCUAAGAGAUACCGGCAGUCUUGGAACUGGGAGAGGUAAACCGUACUUCGGGGGUAGGAGUGAAAUCUUGUAAUCCUCGAGGGACGACCUAUGGCGAAGGCAGUUUACCAGAACAGCUUCGACAGUGAGGGACGAAAGCUGGGGGAGCAAACGGGAUUAGAUACCCCGGUAGUCCCAGCCGUAAACAAUGUGCGUUAGGUGUGUCGGUAACCACGCGUUACUGAUGCGCCGAAGAGAAAUCGUGAAACGCACCACCUGGGAAGUAC
This 783-nucleotide ribosomal RNA is filed under the name uncultured bacterium. RNAcentral describes it as "bacterial SSU rRNA". It matches the Rfam family "Archaeal small subunit ribosomal RNA", at positions 47 to 838 of the family's 1478-position model. The record is from RNAcentral.